GAACUGAAGAGUUUGAUCAUGGCUCAGAUUGAACGCUGGCGGCAGGCCUAACACAUGCAAGUCGAGCGGAUGAGUGGAGCUUGCUCCAUGAUUCAGCGGCGGACGGGUGAGUAAUGCCUAGGAAUCUGCCUGGUAGUGGGGGGACAACGUUUCGAAAGGAACGCUAAUACCGCAUACGUCCUACGGGAGAAAGCAGGGGACCUUCGGGCCUUGCGCUAUCAGAUGAGCCUAGGUCGGAUUAGCUAGUUGGUGGGGUAAAGGCCUACCAAGGCGACGAUCCGUAACUGGUCUGAGAGGAUGAUCAGUCACACUGGAACUGAGACACGGUCCAGACUCCUACGGGAGGCAGCAGUGGGGAAUAUUGGACAAUGGGCGAAAGCCUGAUCCAGCCAUGCCGCGUGUGUGAAGAAGGUCUUCGGAUUGUAAAGCACUUUAAGUUGGGAGGAAGGGCAGUAAGUUAAUACCUUGCUGUUUUGACGUUACCAACAGAAUAAGCACCGGCUAACUUCGUGCCAGCAGCCGCGGUAAUACGAAGGGUGCAAGCGUUAAUCGGAAUUACUGGGCGUAAAGCGCGCGUAGGUGGUUUGGUAAGAUGGAUGUGAAAUCCCCGGGCUCAACCUGGGAACUGCAUCCAUAACUGCCUGACUAGAGUACGGUAGAGGGUGGUGGAAUUUCCUGUGUAGCGGUGAAAUGCGUAGAUAUAGGAAGGAACACCAGUGGCGAAGGCGACCACCUGGACUGAUACUGAC
RNAcentral lists this ribosomal RNA (749 nucleotides) under Pseudomonas sp. ATCC 13867. RNAcentral describes it as "bacterial SSU rRNA". It matches the Rfam family "Bacterial small subunit ribosomal RNA", at positions 1 to 744 of the family's 1533-position model. Lineage: Bacteria; Pseudomonadati; Pseudomonadota; Gammaproteobacteria; Pseudomonadales; Pseudomonadaceae. The record is from RNAcentral.